This 363-nucleotide ribosomal RNA is filed under the name uncultured bacterium. Its description in RNAcentral is "bacterial SSU rRNA". It matches the Rfam family "Bacterial small subunit ribosomal RNA", at positions 72 to 422 of the family's 1533-position model. The record is from RNAcentral.
AAGGGGCUUCGGCCCUGAGUAGAGUGGCAAACGGGUGAGUAACGCGUGGGUGACCUACCUUCGAGCGGGGGAUAACGUUCCGAAAGGGACGCUAAUACCGCAUGACAUCCUGUCUUUAGACAGACGGAGAUCAAAGCCGGGGAUCGCAAGACCUGGCACUUGAAGAGGGGCCCGCGUCCGAUUAGCUAGUUGGUGGGGUAAUGGCUCACCAAGGCUCCGAUCGGUAUCCGGCCUGAGAGGGCGGACGGACACACUGGGACUGAGACACGGCCCAGACUCCUACGGGAGGCAGCAGUGGGGAAUUGUUCGCAAUGGGCGCAAGCCUGACGACGCAACGCCGCGUGGAGGAUGAAGAUUUUCGGA